GAUGAACGCUGGCGGCGUGCCUAAUACAUGCAAGUCGAGCGAACAGACGAGGAGCUUGCUUCUCUGACGUUAGCGGCGGACGGGUGAGUAACACGUGGAUAACCUACCUAUAAGACUGGGAUAACUUCGGGAAACCGGAGCUAAUACCGGAUAAUAUAUUGAACCGCAUGGUUCAAUAGUGAAAGACGGUUUUGCUGUCACUUAUAGAUGGAUCCGCGCCGCAUUAGCUAGUUGGUAAGGUAACGGCUUACCAAGGCAACGAUGCGUAGCCGACCUGAGAGGGUGAUCGGCCACACUGGAACUGAGACACGGUCCAGACUCCUACGGGAGGCAGCAGUAGGGAAUCUCCCGCAAUGGGCGAAAGCCUGACGGAGCAACGCCGCGUGAGUGAUGAAGGUCUUCGGAUCGUAAAACUCUGUUAUUAGGGAAGAACAAAUGUGUAAGUAACUAUGCACGUCUUGACGGUACCUAAUCAGAAAGCCACGGCUAACUACGUG
This 497-nucleotide ribosomal RNA is filed under the name uncultured bacterium. RNAcentral describes it as "partial 16S ribosomal RNA". It matches the Rfam family "Bacterial small subunit ribosomal RNA", at positions 28 to 507 of the family's 1533-position model. The record is from RNAcentral.